CAGAGCUUUGGAGCAUGAAAUGAAAGCAAAUCCUCUUUUGUACAUGUGCGUCUGGGACACCUCCCUUUGUUGCGUCACACACCCAUGUGUAAAGUUCUUGAUGAGCGAUUUACGAGAAUGUGAUGGCCCAGAGGACCAGCAGCGUCCACAGGGACAGGAAGUGAGCGGCGAUGUAGCAGGGCAGGACAGAGGCAAAGAGGGACACACACACCACACGUGGGCCAAUCAGGAACAGGUUCCACAGGAAGUAGAUUAUAGAGGAAGACCAUCUCAUCUUAAGCUUCUCAGGGAGGAACGCACGCAUGCUGCGAUGGACUGCAUCUCCUGCAUCUCUAUGAUGAGAGCCAUCAUCAGGAUGAUCUGUGGAGCACUCUCAGAGAACGCCUCGAACAGACGCAACAUGCUGAGGUCAUGAUUCAUGUAUACGGUGACCGGCUUCUGGAAACGGUUUUUGGAGGACUCAGAAUACCAGAUCCAGCUGAAGAUCUGCAGGAGAACCGAGGAACUGAGCAGAAGAAAUAUCAACAAUCCCAUGGAGAAGUAUUUCUCUUCUUCAUAGAGGCACUGUAUGGCCCACAGGUCCAGCACCACGUCCACGAGGUAAAAGAUAAGAGUCAGCAGAGAAAAGAAGACGUCUGAGAACGUUAAGUUGAAAGGAAAGCCUUCCUCCAUGGCAUGAGCCUGGACGUUUUCUGUGUAACCUAGCACAGCUUUGGAGUACGAAAUGAAAACAAAUCCACUGUAUGUAAGGGUGUGUGAGAGGUGCUUCCUUUUGUUGCGUCACGUAGCUGAAUGUGAUUUCUGUGCACAGUUUGUUGACAAUGAUUCAUAGGAAUGGAAUGGGGGGGAAAAAUGACAAGGUAAAAGAAUUGACACACAUUAAACACACAUAACAACCAGAAAACUCUAUAUUGACAUACAUACUAACGAAUGUACACAUGCAUUACAUGCACUUUUUAAAUAAUCUUGGACUGAACAGCAGUAAAACUGGAAAAUCUCCGAUCAUAACCAGCCAUGCCCAUCUCCGAUCAUACCAUCAUAGGUCCCGCCCAUGCCCAAGGGAGGUACGUGCAUGCUGAUGGACGAGAUAGAGGGAACAGGACGGAGUAGCAACUUUUCUGAACACCACUGAUUAACUUGUACACCACACUGCUGCUGAAUUCACAGUGCUUUUGGCUGUAAUUCAAAUCCAAGGUUAAUAAUAAAUGGAUUUUAAAGUGUGCUAUUAUUUUACAAAGAAAAACAUGUAAUUCUUGUCCUGUAAGGAGAUGUUUAUUUAACAUUAAUGGAAGAAGUAUCCAGUCUGCUAAUUUACAGAGAAAAACAUCCAAUCUAAUUGGAAGGAACUUCAUUAUGCAGCAAGACAAUGACCCAAAACACACUGCCGACACAACAAAGGACUUCAACAGGGGAAAGAAGUGGAAGAAAGUGGAAAAAGUGGCAAAGUUAAUCGCCAGGCCUUAACCCAAUUCAGCAGCAUUUUACCUCCUGAAGAAGAGACUGAAGGGAGAAACCUCCCAAAACAAACAACAACAGAAAGAAGUACAAGCCUGGACAAGCAUCACAAAAGAAGAAUGCGACAACAGUUUGGUGAUGUCAGUGCGUUGCCAGCUUGAUGCAGUUAUUGCAAGCGAGGGCUAUGCGACCUAAUAUUAAGAGUUAUUUACUUUAAUUUACUUUAAGACUAUAUGUUCCUAUACUUUUGCUCACUUACAAACUGCACGCAAAGUACAGUACAUUGUCCUUAACCAUUAGAGGGCAAAAGCUUACCUAACGAUCUCUCCCUCUCUCUCCCUCUCUCUCCCUCUCUCUCCAUCUCUCUCUCUCUCUCUCUCUCCAUCUCUCUCCAUCUCUCUCUCUCCCUCACUCUCUGUCGAGCUACACAUGCUACUUCUGAGAUGCCAGUGAUCCUGACCCCUUCUGCUCCUCCUCGCUGCCUGAUCCAUCCUGAUGCCCUACUUCUGGUUGGAGUUCUUAUCGGUUGAGUUCUGCUGGGGGUGGCCCCAUAUGGACGGCCUGAAGAACCAUUUGGAUUGCUGGGGAUGGCGCCACCUGGGGCUGUGGAGAUGCCUUGGGGAUCACACAUGGGGAGCUGUACUGUAAUGGCUUGGGACCGCGAUUGCUGUAGUGGCUUUGGGGCUGCGGUUGCCAUGAGCACCUUCGUACUCAGGACUCCAUCAGUGGACGGUGGAUAGAUUUUAGCCAACCGGACUUAUUGUGAAUACUGUGAUGAAUUUAUUGGUUGCACAAUUGCACUAUUUGUCCAUAUAGUACACAAUAAUAGAAGGGAUUUAUUUAUAAUUGCACUAUCCGUGAAUUGAAUUGAACCUACAAAUUGGGUGGUCUAACAGCAAAGGUGCCAUGUUGUUUAACAAAUCCAGAUGUAAAUAUCAGGAAAUGAAAGCUGAAAUUCUGAUCGAUCGUCGCAUAUUCAUCUUUUGAUCUCAAACCCAAAUGUCUUCAAUGUAUAGCAAAAACAAAAGAAUUGGCCUUGAUGUUCCAAUACCUUCAGUGGGGACUGUAUAUAUGGUUUUUGAAAAUGAUUUUCCAAAUUUUUAAAAAAACUGAGCAAAGCAAAUACAGUUACAAAAAUCAUUUUUUAUUAUCGUUCCACAUUUUGACUGAACAGAGAAAAAAUAAAUAAUCAAAUCAGCUGA
This is a long non-coding RNA of Pangasianodon hypophthalmus (striped catfish), 2657 nucleotides long. RefSeq lists it as uncharacterized. The record is from RefSeq and is a predicted model, not a curated record. The transcript has 4 exons. Lineage: Eukaryota; Metazoa; Chordata; Actinopteri; Siluriformes; Pangasiidae.